UACAGAGACUGCAAGCGUUAUUCGGAUUCACUGGGCGUAAAGGGCUCGUAGGCGGCCAACUAAGUCAGACGUGAAAUCCCUCGGCUUAACCGGGGAACUGCGUCUGAUACUGGAUGGCUUGAGUUUGGGAGAGGGAUGCGGAAUUCCAGGUGUAGCGGUGAAAUGCGUAGAUAUCUGGAGGAACACCGGGGGCGAAGGCGGCAUCCUGGACCAACACUGACGCUGAGUGAGCGAAAGCCAGGGGAGCAAACGGG
Molecule: ribosomal RNA, 254 nt
Filed under: uncultured bacterium
Lineage: Bacteria
Description: partial 16S ribosomal RNA
Rfam family: Bacterial small subunit ribosomal RNA
Source: RNAcentral